Molecule: non-coding RNA, 2652 nt
Organism: Odocoileus virginianus texanus
Lineage: Eukaryota; Metazoa; Chordata; Mammalia; Artiodactyla; Cervidae
Source: RefSeq, a predicted model, not a curated record
CCCCGCCCAACGCAUCUAGUUCGUUUUCUGGGCGGUGCCGUUGGGCGCACGUGGACGAAUCCAAGGAAGGUGCGCGAGAAUCAAAUGAAAAGCCAGGCUGCUUGCAGGCUGGUGGGAGAAGGCAGAGAGCAGCUUGAGAAAGGGACAGGGACUAAAGAGUGAGAAGAACAACAGAGACCUUGACAAAGGCUCACUGUAUCUUGGGCUAUUUCUUUUGUUUCUAUUGGCCUCAGGACACGCCUCAUUUUUCCAUGGGCUGAUUCGGCUGUUUCACAGGUGCUGUGCCCACCUCACCGUUACACCAUUUUCAGGGUUCACGGGGAGUCUCUUGCAGCAAAGAGGAUCCCUGGAGUCAGCCAGAGGACCACCACCAGAGUCUGAGAAAAUCAGGAAAUACAAUGCUGUCUUCCAAGUGUGCUAUCUUUCUGUCCUAUCACUGAAUCAAAUAAUCAAAGAAGUAGAAAUAAAGAAUAGGUAAUUAGCAUGACCAGAUCUCUUCCCUAGUUUCUCUUCAGCAAACCUGUGAACAAACUGUGUGAACAAGCUCUCAUCUAAGGAAAGAUCACAAGAAGUCAACAAGCUGGCAUGUACAAGGGGCUGGUGAGACUCUGAACCCCUACCUCAAUGAUUAAAUGAGAUUACUUCCCUUUUCCUCUUAAAAGCUAUCAUGGCUGAGCAGACUCUUUGGAGUUGGUCUUGGGAUGUGAAUCCAUCUUCUCCCAAGACUGCCAGCAUUCUGAUUAAAAGCAGUGUUCCUUUUUACCACCAUUUGCUUCUCUUUCAGGUAUUGACUUUUGAGCAGCAAGAAGCUGGACCUGAGUUCAGUAACAGUAGUGGAUACUGUUGAUAUAAAAUAUAUGAUAAAAUAUAUGAUUUAUGAUAUAGCCGCCACCCAUAGGGGUGAAUUUUAGCAUCCAUGGCCAGAAGAGUUAACCUCUGCUUAGGACUGAGAUCCAGGUCUUCUUGGAGGGCACAGCCCAACUGAACAGCAGAGAAAUCACCGAGAACCCCUCUGGUGGGUCUUGCCAGAAGUCCGAGGUCUAAGGUCCUGGGGAAAGCUGUUCAUAGGAAGGUGUCUCACUGAGGCACUGCAGGGCACUGGAGAAAGUUGUUCAUGGGAAGGUAUAUCCCUGGGGCAUUCCAACACGCUCCGCUACAGAACCACCUGGGGAAAUGUGGGUACCUGGAAUUGCUAUUAAUACUAGUUGCUGGAUGCCUCUGGCUGCCUACACUGCAGACUCUAGACACUUCAGAGGCAGUCUACACUUCAGGGGCCUGGCACUUGGGAAACUACUUACUUGGCCAGAGGAGGCUGUGUAGGGAGUCACUGGAGCAUAUAAAGCAAAUCUCUCUUAAAUUUUCUCUCUAGCACCCUCUGCUGAAAAAGGAUAGCAUAGUGCCAGCUAACAAAGCUGAGAUAUUUAAAGGCCCAGAUCCAGUUGCACAGAAUAGGCAGAAAGGGUGAUAGUAGAGCUAACUGGUAAUAAACUGAUAACCUACACAAUCUGCUCUAAGGAGUUUUAUAUUUGCCAGUCAGGACAGGCAAGAUUACAGAAUUCAAGUUAGAGCUCAAUUUGCUCUCACCAAAAUAUUUGAGGCUGGAAUGAGAACUGCACGCUUUCAGGGUAGUUCUUCCUGAGGCACAGGUGGAACAGUUGAAACCCAUUUUUUUUUUUCUCCAUCAAUGUUCUUCCCUAGGUCGACAGAGAUCUCCAAAUCCAUACCCCUCAAAAACUCAGUUUUUCACUUGACAUGGGUAGAUAGACUCCAGUACUCCACAGCCACAUGUAAUGCCCUUCAGAUCUUACUUGGAUUUAUCUAAACACCAUAAGAUCACAAUUUUUAAACUUUAUCUUCUCCUUGUUAAUGGCAGAAAGUCCUAAUAGUCUACACUAUCUCUUUGACUUUCUGUGUAUAUGACCAGAUGGUCUGUAAGUGGUGGUUGUCAUUGUUGUUGUUUUGUUUUUAGGGCUAAAACUAGGACUUCCAGGUCAAGUUGAAUAGAACAUAUGUGGUUGGUGUCUGUUUUAUACCUGUUUAUAAAUUCAUCAUUAUUAUUUUGCUGUAGAUGGUGGUAGAUACAAUUUAUUAGUUUUGGCAGUUCCUCUCUUUUCUAAAUUGAUGUGAGAUUUAAUAAUUUUUAUCAUGAAGAUUUAAUCUUACCUCUUACUGUCUUGAGUCUAUUCACAUGAUUGUAUCAAUCGUCCAAAGGUGAUGCCAUCUAUUCAUUGAUUUAUUAAUGUUAACCAUUCUUAUAUUCCUGAGGAAGAAAAAUCCUGGUCAAGAUGAGUUUAUAUAAUAUUCAUUGCUAGUUUCAGCUUGGAAAUGAUUUAUACAUUUCCCUCUAUGUUUAUAGAUAAGAUGAUAUAUAAUUUUUCUUAUUUGUACUGUCCCUCUAGGAAUUUUACUAACAAAGUCAUAAUAGGGUCAUAAGUUGAACUGAGAUGUAUUUUCCUCAUUUUUAAUUUUCUGGGGGGCUUAUGACAGGGACUAUCCUAUUGGUUCUUUCCAGGUGAGGUGAUGGAUGUGUUAAUUAUCUUGAUCUUAGUAGUAAUUCUACAAUCUAGGCAUAUUAAACUUUCAUGUAGUACACUUUAAAUUAAUAUGUUUGUACAUUCUAUCACAAUUAAAAAUUUUAAAACAUUUAUUUAU